AUAGUUAUCACAUCAACUUCGUCUGCACUGUCACUAAUGGUGUUACAAAUAUGACGGAAAUAUUUGGUCAACUAGCUAGAUAUAACAGUGCACUGGAACCUUUGACCAGAAAAUUGUCAUCGAAAUAACUUGGGCUCUAUUUUUCAACAUCGAGAAAGUUGUGGCUAGAAAAAUGUAUUAGGUUGAUGAAAAAAAAAUGGAUGUAAUAAUUUAUCAAAAACGAACAUGAUGUUAAUUACCGAUUGAUUAUUUUCGUCUUCUCUUUACAUAUAUUGUCCAUUUUCAUAAUUUUAUUCCCAUUUCUUAUUUUCCAGUUCAUCUUUUUUUUCGUUUUCAUAUUUUUUUUGACAUACAAAGCUCAUUCAUUUAAAAAGAUUUGAUAAAAAUCGAUACACGAUGAAGCACUAGCCACUACAGGUGCACACCCCCAC
RNAcentral lists this long non-coding RNA (431 nucleotides) under Linum usitatissimum (flax). RNAcentral's name for it is "long non-coding RNA (LUSI_LNC005325)". Lineage: Eukaryota; Viridiplantae; Streptophyta; Magnoliopsida; Malpighiales; Linaceae. The record is from RNAcentral.